CUACGGGCGGCUCCAGCUAGGGAAAUUUUACAAUGCUCGAAAGAGUGAUAGAAUGAGCCAGAGUGUUUCUCUUAGAGGAACUUUUUUCUGCUGUAAAAAUGCGGAAGAAUAAGGACUGGGCAAGACCGGUGCCAGCCGCCGCGGUAAUACCGGCGGUCCAAGUCGCAUCCAUAUUUAUUAGGUCUAAAACAUCCGUAGCUUGUUUUAUAAGUCUCUUGUGAAAUCCUAUAUCUCAAGUAUAGGGCGUGCAAGAGAUACUAUAUUGCUAGAGACCGGAAGACGUAACGAGUACGAUUAAGGUAGCGGUAAAAUGUGUUAAUCUUAAUUGGACUAACAAUGGCGAAGGCAUGUUACGAGUACGGAUCUGACAGUGAGGGAUGAAGGCUAGGGGCGCAAAACGGAUUAGAUACCCUCGUAGUC
This 420-nucleotide ribosomal RNA is filed under the name uncultured archaeon. Its description in RNAcentral is "partial 16S ribosomal RNA". It matches the Rfam family "Archaeal small subunit ribosomal RNA", at positions 323 to 746 of the family's 1478-position model. The record is from RNAcentral.